UACGUAGGGAGCAAGCGUUGUCCGGAAUCAUUGGGCGUAAAGGGUGCGUAGGUGGCGCCGUAAGUCAGGUGUGAAAUUUCGGAGCUUAACUCCGAAACUGCAUUCGAUACUGCGGUGCUUGAGGACUGGAGAGGAGACUGGAAUUCAUGGUGUAGCAGUGAAAUGCGUAGAGAUCAUGAGGAAGACCAGUGGCGAAGGCGGGUCUCUGGACAGUUCCUGACACUGAGGCACGAAGGCCAGGGGAGCAAACGGG
This 253-nucleotide ribosomal RNA is filed under the name uncultured bacterium. RNAcentral's name for it is "partial 16S ribosomal RNA". It matches the Rfam family "Bacterial small subunit ribosomal RNA", at positions 524 to 776 of the family's 1533-position model. The record is from RNAcentral.